RNAcentral lists this long non-coding RNA (381 nucleotides) under Salvia miltiorrhiza (redroot sage). RNAcentral describes it as "long non-coding RNA (SMIL_LNC004416)". The record is from RNAcentral. Lineage: Eukaryota; Viridiplantae; Streptophyta; Magnoliopsida; Lamiales; Lamiaceae.
UUGCACAUCACCUUUAAAAUUAGCUCCAGAAUACAUCACUUUUUAAUUUAGUUGUAAAUUGCACACACGUUGACCACCACCACCACCUUGAUCGGUGUUGACGUGGCUCCCGAAAUUUUCAGAUGUGGAUUCACCGGCAUUCAAAACGACGUCGUUUUGAAUGAAUAUAAAUAAAUAAAAAAAGGAAAAAAUCCCCAAAUCUCGUCUGCACCUUCUUCCCCAAAUCUUGUCUGCACCUUCUUCCCGUCUGCACCUUCAUCCCCAAAUCUCGUCUGCACCUUCUUCCCGUUUGCACCUUCAUCCCCAAAUCUCCUAGGUCUUCAAGUAGGCGUAUUUGAGGUCGGAGAGGGCGGCCUUGGCGGUCGGCGUUGUAGGGGAACU